GUACUGCUGAAGAGUUCCGAACCGGGACGAAACAACUGUCCAGUAC
Molecule: non-coding RNA, 46 nt
Filed under: Trichobilharzia regenti
Lineage: Eukaryota; Metazoa; Platyhelminthes; Trematoda; Strigeidida; Schistosomatidae
Source: RNAcentral